CGGGGACAGGCGUAGCGCGCGGGGGCGGCGGAGCCCACAAUCCAGACAGCCCCCCCGGUUCCCUCGCCUUGUGCCGCAAUCAGCUCCUCUUCCCAGCGGCACCGGUUCCUACCCCCCCCCGCUUGGGAUCAAGGCGGAAACCUCCUUCUCCACGCCGGGAAGCCCACCCGGAGGUUUCGCUCGAAGGCUGAGCGGCUCUUGCUGCUGUUUCCCCGAAGAAGGGGGAGCCCGUUCCCAGCGCGCCGCGAGAGGAGAAGCUGCCUGGGCGUGUAAACGCAGAGAUCCCUUGGAUUUGGCCCUGGGCAUGGACAACCCUCUCCAGGCUCGAAGGAGAGGACUAACUAGUGGAGUAGCAUUCAAGAAAAACCAAAACACGUGCUAAAGCUAUCCAAAGCAUAACAGGAAGGGGAAGCCUUCCAGCCCAACAACUAUGCCUUUUGGGUUGAAAUUGCGACGGACCAGGCGCUAUAAUGUCCUGAGCAAGAACUGUUUUGUGACCCAAAUCCGUCUGCUGGACAACAAUGUGAUUGAGUGCACACUGUCAGUGGAGAGCACAGGCCAGGAGUGUCUGGAAGCUGUGGCCCAGAGACUGGAAUUACGGGAGACACACUAUUUUGGCCUUUGGUUUCUCAGCAAGAACCAGCAUGCACGAUGGGUGGAACUGGAGAAACCUCUGAAGAAACAGCUCGACAAAUUUGCCAAUGAGCCUUUGCUUUUCUUUGGGGUAAUGUUCUAUGUCCCCAGUGUGUCCCGACUGCAGCAAGAGGUCACAAGGUAUGAGAAUUUCUCCCGGUUGCAUUGUUGAUAGUGAAUCUGGGGCAUAGCUCUUUGCUUUGGAUUUUUAAGAAUUGGAGGGUCAUCUGUUUUGCCCCCUUCCUUUUCAGUUCCAGGUAAAACCAGGGGGAGAAACCACCAUUUGGCACAUUCGUUUGAAAAGAUUGGCUCUAUGUGUUGCAUCAGCUAGUGUCCUGCAAAAUUGAAGUGAUAAAAUACACCUUAAAAAUGCUGCCCAUCUGCUUCAAUUGGUGUGGGGACUUGAUGGGGCCAGUGGAGAAAAGAGAAAGCUCCAGCACAAGGGAGGGAAUUGCUCACUGAGGGAGUCCGUGUAGCUCCACUCCAUCCACUGGAGUCUCUGGCACCAUGGAGAGCUGGUGGAGAAGAGCACCAAUUAGCCUGCACAGCCUAGUGCCUGGGAUUUAACGUGGAGCAUAGGCCAUGUGGGGCCUCUUUCAGCUCUGUUCCUGGAGCCCUGUCCACCCUGAGCUAGAAAUGGGAGGCCAGCCUGGCAGAUGCUGCGGGUCUGACCAGUCACCUGUUGGGGAAUCAUGAAGGAAUUGGCAGGACCAAUUGACAGAAGCCUGGGGAGCAUUUUGGCUUUCUUUGCAGCACCUUGGAGUCACAGUGGAUUAGUACCUAACUGAUAUACUUGGUUGUUAAUUUGUAGCAACUUACUGCUGGUUUCUGGUGCAGUUAAACGGAUACAGUGAAGGGGCCCAGAGGAAAAAGACCUGGGAUUUUGCUGGUGGGCCUUGGGCUCAUGACAGAGGGUCAGAUCUUGUGGCCCUUGUAAGCCUAAAUCCUUACCCUUUGGCCUCUCUGACUCCUGAGUGCAGGAGGACAGGGGAGAGCUAAGACUCAGAGCAAGCUGAGUUCUGGAGAGUUGGCUGAGGAGCCACAUAACCCCUGCAGUGGAACCAUUUAAAUGCCUGGCUUAGGGAAGUAUGGGUCAUGCUCUUCCCUUGUAUUUAAGUUGCAGUGUGUUGCUUCAGAUUAGGGAUGUAAAAUCAAUCCCUUUUUAAUUGGUUAACUGGUUAAAGGUAGUGUUUGACUGGCUGUCUGAUUAAACGGGGCAGG
Molecule: non-coding RNA, 1854 nt
Organism: Pelodiscus sinensis (Chinese soft-shelled turtle)
Lineage: Eukaryota; Metazoa; Chordata; Testudines; Trionychidae
Source: RefSeq, a predicted model, not a curated record